GAGUUUGAUCCUGGCUCACAACGAACGCUGGCGGCAGGCCUAAUACAUGCAAGUCGAACGAACCUUCGGGUGAGUGGCGCACGGGUGCGUAACGCGUGGGAACCUACAUCUAGGUGAGGAAUAACACAGAGAAAUUUGUGCUAAUACCUCAUAACAUCCCCGGAUCAAAGAUUUAUCGCCUAGGGAUGGGCCCGCGUCUGAUUAGGUAGUUGGUAGGGUAAAAGCCUACCAAGCCGACGAUCAGUAGCUGGUCUUAGAGGACGAUCAGCCACACUGGAACUGAGACACGGUCCAGACUCCUACGGGAGGCAGCAGUAAGGAAUAUUGCGCAGUGGGGGAAACCCUGACGCAGCCAUGCCGCGUGAGUGAAGAAGGCCUUAGGGUUGUAAAGCUCUUUCAGAUGCGAAGAUAAUGGCGGUAACAUCAGACGAAGCUCCGGCUAAAUUCGUGCCAGCAGCCGCGGUAAUACGAACGGAGCGAGCGUUGUUCGGAAUCACUGGGCGUAAAGCGUAUGUAGGCGGAUUUGCAAGUCAGAAGUGAAAUCCAGGGGCUCAACCUCUGAACUGCUUUUGAAA
RNAcentral lists this ribosomal RNA (575 nucleotides) under uncultured Erythrobacteraceae bacterium. RNAcentral describes it as "bacterial SSU rRNA". It matches the Rfam family "Bacterial small subunit ribosomal RNA", at positions 9 to 632 of the family's 1533-position model. Lineage: Bacteria; Pseudomonadati; Pseudomonadota; Alphaproteobacteria; Sphingomonadales; Erythrobacteraceae. The record is from RNAcentral.